AUGUUCUGUGAGCAAAUUCCUGCCCAAACCCCUACAUGCCAGACACAUUUAGAGUUGCUCUGCUAUCAGGUGAUGGUCACAGUAUUUAGCAGCUGGUGCCACACUAGAGCAGAACAGAUCUUGAAGGCCACCUGCAGUGCAGACAUCUAUACUUUAGUUGUUGGACUGAAGUCACCUUGAGGACUGAGGGUAAAGCAACUCCUCACUAAUACAUUGGGAAAUAUUUAAAUAUUUUAAUAAUAAUUUUUUAAAUAAUAACUUU
Molecule: long non-coding RNA, 262 nt
Filed under: Vulpes vulpes (red fox)
Lineage: Eukaryota; Metazoa; Chordata; Mammalia; Carnivora; Canidae
Description: lncRNA (ENSVVUG00000026344.1)
Source: RNAcentral